UGUCUUUUUGAGAAUAAUUUAAAGUCUAAUCUGCCCACUGAUUAAUAUUGAAGGGCUGCAGUAUAUUGACUGUACAAAGGUAGCAUAAUCAUUAGUCAUUUAAUUGAUGACUUGUAUGAAAGAUUGGAUGAGAUAUAAACUGUCUUUUAUUUAUUUAUAAAAUUUAAUUUUUUUAUUAAAAAGUUAAAAUAAUUUAAAAAGACGAGAAGACCCUAUAGAGUUUUAUAAAUAUAUUAAAUUAAGAUUAUAAUGUAAUAUAAAUUUAAAAUUUAAUUUUUUUUUUUAUUGGGGUGAUAAAAAAAUAUAAAAAACUUUUUUUAUGGUUAAAACAUUGAUAAAUGAUUAUAUGAUCCAAUAAUAUUGAUUAUAAGAAAAAAUUACCUUAGGGAUAACAGCGUAAUUUUUUUUUUUAGUUCGAAUAAAAAAAAAAGUUUGCGACCUCGAUGUUGGAUUAAGAUAAAGUUUAAAUGUAGAAG
This 476-nucleotide ribosomal RNA is filed under the name Acrapex mystica. RNAcentral describes it as "partial large subunit ribosomal RNA". The record is from RNAcentral. Lineage: Eukaryota; Metazoa; Arthropoda; Insecta; Lepidoptera; Noctuidae.